Molecule: ribosomal RNA, 485 nt
Filed under: uncultured bacterium
Lineage: Bacteria
Description: partial 16S ribosomal RNA
Rfam family: Bacterial small subunit ribosomal RNA
Source: RNAcentral
AACGAACGCUAGCGGCGUGCUUAACACAUGCAAGUCGAACGAGAACGGGAUAUAGCUUGCUAUAUUUGUCAGCUAAGUGGCGCACGGGUGAGUAAUGUAUAGAUAACCUGCCCUCUAGAAAGGAAUAACAGUUGGAAACGACUGCUAAUGCCCUAUAUGCCUUUAAUACAUAAGUAUGCAAGGGAAACGCUUUAGUGCUAGAGGAUGGGUCUGUAUGGUAUCAGCUUGUUGGUGAGGUAAUGGCUCACCAAGGCUAUGACGCCUAACUGGUUUGAGAGGAUGAUCAGUCACACUGGAACUGAGACACGGUCCAGACUCCUACGGGAGGCAGCAGUGGGGAAUAUUGCACAAUGGACGAAAGUCUGAUGCAGCAACGCCGCGUGGAGGAUGACACAUUUCGGUGCGUAAACUCCUUUUAUAUAGGAAGAUAAUGACGGUACUAUAUGAAUAAGCACCGGCUAACUCCGUGCCAGCCGCCGCCGUAA